UACGUAGGUGGCGAGCGUUGUCCGGAUUUACUGGGCGUAAAGGGAGCGUAGGCGGACUUUUAAGUGAGAUGUGAAAUACCCGGGCUCAACUUGGGUGCUGCAUUUCAAACUGGAAGUCUAGAGUGCAGGAGAGGAGAAUGGAAUUCCUAGUGUAGCGGUGAAAUGCGUAGAGAUUAGGAAGAGCACCAGUGGCGAAGGCGAUUCUCUGGACUGUAACUGACGCUGAGGCUCGAAAGCGUGGGGAGCAAACAGG
RNAcentral lists this ribosomal RNA (253 nucleotides) under uncultured bacterium. RNAcentral describes it as "partial 16S ribosomal RNA". It matches the Rfam family "Bacterial small subunit ribosomal RNA", at positions 524 to 776 of the family's 1533-position model. The record is from RNAcentral.